CCUACGGGUGGCAGCAGUGAGGAAUAUUGGUCAAUGGGCGGAAGCCUGAACCAGCCAAGUCGCGUGAGGGAUUAAGGCUCUGCGGGUCGUAAACCUCUUUUGCCGGGGAGCAGAGGUCCGGACGUGUCCGGGCCGGGAGAGCUCCCGGAGAACAAGCAUCGGCUAACUCCGUGCCAGCAGCCGCGGUACUACGGAGGAUGCGAGCGUUAUCCGGAUUUAUUGGGUUUAAAGGGUGCGUAGGCGGGCAUUAAAGCUGGCGGUCAAAUGUCGGGGGUCAACCCCGGCCUGCCGUCGGAACUGGGAGCCUGGAGUGUGCGAGAGGUAGGCGGAAUGCGUGGUGUAGCGGUGAAAUGCGUAGAUAUCAAGCAGAACACCGAUUGCGAAGGCAGCAUACCGGCGCCCUACUGACGCUGAGGCACGAAAGUGUGGGUAGCGAACAGGAUUAGAUACCCCAGUAGUC
RNAcentral lists this ribosomal RNA (460 nucleotides) under uncultured bacterium. RNAcentral describes it as "partial 16S ribosomal RNA". It matches the Rfam family "Bacterial small subunit ribosomal RNA", at positions 338 to 795 of the family's 1533-position model. The record is from RNAcentral.